Molecule: ribosomal RNA, 256 nt
Filed under: Oxyrrhis marina
Lineage: Eukaryota; Dinophyceae; Oxyrrhinales; Oxyrrhinaceae
Description: partial Bacterial large subunit ribosomal RNA
Rfam family: Bacterial large subunit ribosomal RNA
Source: RNAcentral
GUUGAAAAAGGUCGGGAUGAGGUGUGCCUAGGGGUGAAAGGCCAAUCAAACUCGGAGAUAGCUGGUUCUCUGCGAAAUCUAUUUAGGUAGAGCGUCGGAUUUAUACCAACGGGGGUAGAGCACUGGAUGGAUGCGGGGGACGCGAGUCUUACCAAUUCUAACCAAACUCCGAAUACCGUUGAGUACUAUCCGGCAGACACACUAUGGGUGCUAAGGUCCAUAGUGGAGAGGGAAACAGCCCUGACCGACAGCUAAG